RNAcentral lists this transfer RNA (82 nucleotides) under Asanoa ferruginea. Its description in RNAcentral is "tRNA-Leu". Lineage: Bacteria; Bacillati; Actinomycetota; Actinomycetes; Micromonosporales; Micromonosporaceae. The record is from RNAcentral.
GAAGACGUUGCCGAGCAUUGUCGCUCCCCCAGCCAAGAGCUGGGGGUCAAGGGGGCGUGGGUUCGAAUCCCGCCGUCCCGAC